RNAcentral lists this transfer RNA (71 nucleotides) under Marmota monax (woodchuck). RNAcentral describes it as "tRNA.Ala". It matches the Rfam family "tRNA". Rfam says of the family: Transfer RNA (tRNA) molecules are approximately 80 nucleotides in length. Their secondary structure includes four short double-helical elements and three loops (D, anti-codon, and T loops). The record is from RNAcentral. Lineage: Eukaryota; Metazoa; Chordata; Mammalia; Rodentia; Sciuridae.
GGGGUUGUAGCUCAGUGGUAGAGCACUUGCCUUGCAUGCAGGAGACAUUGGGUUCGAUUCUCAGCACCACA